AAGCCUUAGCCGACGCCGACAAAACGCAAAAUAUGAGCGCAAAAAAGUUUUUCACUGAGUUUACAAUAAACUCAGCAAAGUGCACAUUGUGUUGUAAAAUAACUAAAACUAGCAGAAACACAACGAACCUAACAUCUCAAAUGUUCAAAGAUAAGUAAAUGAAAAGAGACGGAAUGUGGAAGGGUUUCGAAAAUUUCUCCUUGAGAGUCGAAAAAUUGUGUUUUCGGUUUUUCUUGAACCCCCAUAAAUUCAAGAAAAACCCAAAAACACAAUUUUUUGAUUCUCAAAAAUAAAUUUUUUUAAAUCCUUUAUUUAGAGACCGUUUUCCUGGUCAAAUUCGUGAUUAUUGCAUCAAUAUAUAUAUUGUGUUAGGCGCCGAAUCGGCACGAAGCCGACUGCGACGUCGGCAGAGAAGCCAGCGACGCCGGCAGAGCUGAGCGCAACGGCGGCAAAGAGACGCGCUCUCAGUCGGCGUCCGCAAAGAGAACGCACAAAAAGUACUUUUGGGCUCUCCCUCUCUCGCAAUGUCUCAGCUGAAGAAAUGCGUGUGAGGGCAAGGAGGCCCAGCAAUUAAAAUAGCUAGACUUUUGUGCACCCUUUCCUUUUGAAUAACGCGACAUUUUUUCGUAAAUGUUAAAACAACCAAUUAAAAUAAUAUGUUUGGGUUUUAAACUAUUUGUAUUUCUUAAAAAAAUGUAUAUGUUUAUUAAUAUUAUUUAUUAAUAUGUGAAGUUUUAAAAAUAUAUUUUUUUACAACGAUUUGCAUAGUCGGAUAUGUUUAUAAAUACUCUGCUUCUAAGUGCAAGAUGCAUAGACCAAACGGGACAUGCCAAAAAAACAGAACAACAACGGAUUAGCGGAACCGUUGUUGUUGUUGCUUGUUGUUUUUGUGGAAGGCACGCGCCUUUUUUCGUCUUUUUCACUUGCGUUUACUUAAGUGAAGGAGUUAGAAGUAAAAGAAAACUACGAGCAAACAACUUUGUUAAAUUCAAUUAAUAGUGGCUUAAAAGUGAAAUAGAAUCAAUUCCCAGACAAGGUUGAUGGUAAAUCUAUAAAAAAAUGGUAGGCUAAGUCGUUCCAUUUUAAGCGUAUUAUCCGGGGAACUUGUUCUGUCCCACAACUUGGAGGAGGGCCAAAACAAGAAGAAGCUCAAAGUCUUCCCAAAUUUCGUCCGCGCCUUGUUAAAUGCAAUCGCUCUGGUGGAGCCCUCGGAGCCUCCCGAUAAGGCACUGCAAAAAGCAAUGAGGUGCGUCAAAAACCUAAGUUGGGCAAAAAAAAAGUCAACGCCGGCCCCAGAUGCUGACAAACCGACGACUCCGAUAACACCGGGAACCCCCGAGCUGAAAUUUUAAAUAAAAAUAAAUAUUAAAACUGAAAUUAUAUUUGCUGCUAAGCGCUCAACGGGUGCCGAAUGUGUGCCUUUUCUACUGCCUAAUACAGCGCUCAACGUGUGCCGAAUGUGUGCCUUUUCUACUGCCUAAUCCAGCGCUCAACGUGUGCCGAAUGUGUGCCUUUUCUACUGCCUAAUCCAGCGCUCAACGUGGGCCGAAUGUGUGCCUUUUCUACUGCCUAAUCGAGCGCUCAAAGGGGUGCUCAAAAAAGCGCCGAAUGGGUGCUAGUUUUUGUGCACUGAUGAACCCUAGGACAUGCCCAUGUUAAUUUGAGCACCUAAUCCCAUAUAAAUUAGGCGCCUAUUAGGCGCUGAGUGAUGAACUUUUUGCAGUGAUUGAGUGCCUAAUCGGCGCCGAAUGGUACUGCAGGGUAGUUAUUAUAAAAUACUUAAUGUUUAAUAAUCAAAUAAAAACUCAAACAACAAAAAUAUGUACUGCGAAUUGUGGUUUUAGCGGAACAAGCUCAACCAAGAACUCCGCAGACCCAAAAUGAUCCGGUUAUGAAAGCUUUUUACAGUAGUUCGACAGAAGCGGGAGCCAUGGCACCAGCUGAUAACAAACCGGCUUCUGUUCCAAUAGAACCGAUGAGAAAAAAGGUGUCCGGAUACAAUCCUUCCGACAGUCAAUACCCACAAGCUUCUGCUUAACCAACGAUGUCACCACCACCUUCAACAUACUCUCAAGCUGAGCUUUCAGCAGCUUCCAACCAAAACUGCAGUGUACAUAGUGCCUCAGUAACCCCUUUUUAAUACCUAACGCAUCCGGAAACCGGGGUGGGACUCAUCUAGUUAUUAUAACCAUGCCAUGCUACAGGCAACGGCAGCCGACGCCCUACAUCGCUCUGCCGAGAACCCCACCUAGAAUAGUAAGAAGUCAUGACCAUUCCCUUUGCUCUUCAUCAGGGUCCUAUGAAAGGUUCUUUCGGAGGUGGCUUUGGGAUUGUACGUACAACCAAAUUCACUCAACUCUUUCCCCACAGUAGUAUUUAUACCUGCCUCUCGUAAAGUAAAAGUGUAUAUUAGAUUCCGCGGAAAUGUAACAAGUAGACCCUAUAAAGAAUAUAGCCAUGUCAGUCUGUCGGUAUGAACGCUGAGAUCUCGGAAACAAUAAGAGCUAGAAUGUUGGGAUAAAACACUCAAAUUCUUGGACUUCCUGCGAAGCGCAAGUUUGUUUCAUCGGAGUGACACGCCCACAAACGCCAAUAACGCUAAAUUUGUCAGUCUGUCCACAUUUUAUAUAUUUUCUGAAGGUGUUAAUGGGAUUCUGCUUUUAUUAUCAAUACCCAAAUCGGACCACUCAUUAAAGAGUUAAUAAUACAAAAAUACAAAUGAAAAAGUACCAGAUUUCGCGAGUGAAUUUCGAUCGAACGCCGUUAGCCGCGGCCCAAAAAAUAAGAAAUUUAGUCUUUGGCGGUGUUCGUGCAGAAACGGUAGGGAACUUAAAAAUUAAAAAUGGAAAAAAAGCCCCAAAAAAGUCCUUAAGGAGGUUAGUACAGAUUAAAAAGGACGCCUAAUCCAAGUUGUUGCCCAUUAUUGUGGGACUUGACCGACAGGAACAGUUGAAGUGCUGGAGGAGAUCCACUAGAGAAUCCCAGUGGGAAGGAACAUGGGACAUCGCUCGAUCUCCGACGAGCACCACAUUAAGAACUCCACCUCCACCAGCUACUUGGCAGCUAAAGCGGAGGUGGAGGACGCCCCGGCUUCUAUAGGGAGGAGGAAAUAAGGUGGCUCGCUAAGGGACAGCUGGAGGAGCCAUCACCAGCCAUUACCAGGAUGCUGGGCGACUUCAUGCAGCACCAGGCGGAACAACCCCGUUUUUAAUUCGUCUCCCACUUCCAUAAGGUCCAAUAUGCAUAUUGGGACUCGAAACUGGACUACAGAUGGCGCGAGAAAGAUGGCGAAGCAUCCGUGGAACGAAAAGGAAUCCUUAAACUUAUAAUUUACAUAAAUGAAACAAGGAAGAACGCUAUAGUCGAGUACCUCGCCUAUCAGAUACCCGUUACUCAGCUAAAGGGACCAAAAGGAAAUGGAGAUAUGCAAGCG
Long non-coding RNA from Drosophila subpulchrella, 3433 nucleotides. RefSeq lists it as uncharacterized. The transcript is spliced from 3 exons. The record is from RefSeq and is a predicted model, not a curated record. Lineage: Eukaryota; Metazoa; Arthropoda; Insecta; Diptera; Drosophilidae.